AGAGUUUGAUCCUGGCUCAGGAUGAACGCUAGCGGCAGGCCUAACACAUGCAAGUCGAGGGGUAACAUAGAGUGCUUGCACUCUGAUGACGACCGGCGCACGGGUGAGUAACGCGUAUACAAUCUGCCUCAUACUAGGGGAUAGCCCAGAGAAAUUUGGAUUAAUACCCUAUAGUAUCUUUUAGAGUCAUCUCUUUAAGAUUAAAGGUUACGGUAUGAGAUGAGUAUGCGUUCUAUUAGUUAGUAGGUGAGGUAACGGCUCACCUAGACCACGAUAGAUAGGGGCCCUGAGAGGGGGAUCCCCCACACUGGUACUGAGACACGGACCAGACUCCUACGGGAGGCAGCAGUGAGGAAUAUUAGACAAUGGGCGAAAGCCUGAUCUAGCCAUGCCGCGUGCAGGAUGACGGCCCUAUGGGUUGUAAACUGCUUUUAUACAGGAAGAAAAAACUCUACGUGUAGAGUCUUGACGGUACUGUAAGAAUAAGGAUCGGCUAACUCCGUGCCAGCAGCCGCGGUAAUACGGAGGAUCCAAGCGUUAUCCGGAAUUAUUGGGUUUAAAGGGUCCGUAGGUGGACAAUUAAGUCAGAGGUGAAAUCCUGCAGCUCAACUGUAGAAUUGCCUUUGAAACUGGUUGUCUUGAGUCAUUAUGAAGUGGUUAGAAUGUGUAGUGUAGCGGUGAAAUGCAUAGAUAUUACACAGAAUACCAAUUGCGAAGGCAGAUCACUAAUAAUGUACUGACACUGAUGGACGAAAGCGUGGGUAGCGAACAGGAUUAGAUACCCUGGUAGUCCACGCCGUAAACGAUGGUCACUAGCUGUUCGGACUUCGGUCUGAGUGGCUAAGCGAAAGUGAUAAGUGACCCACCUGGGGAGUACGUUCGCAAGAAUGAAACUCAAAGGAAUUGACGGGGGCCCGCACAAGCGGUGGAGCAUGUGGUUUAAUUCGAUGAUACGCGAGGAACCUUACCAGGGCUUAAAUGUAGAGUGACAGGUCUAGAGAUAGAUUUUUCUUCGGACACUUUACAAGGUGCUGCAUGGUUGUCGUCAGCUCGUGCCGUGAGGUGUCAGGUUAAGUCCUAUAACGAGCGCAACCCCUGUUGUUAGUUGCCAGCGAGUAAUGUCGGGAACUCUAGCAAGACUGCCAGUGCAAACUGUGAGGAAUGUGGGGAUGACGUCAAAUCAUCACGGCCCUUACGUCCUGGGCUACACACGUGCUACAAUGGUAGGUACAGAGAGCAGCCAAUGCGUGAGCAUGAGCGAAUCUACAAAACCUAUCUCAGUUCGGAUCGGAGUCUGCAACUCGACUCCGUGAAGCUGGAAUCGCUAGUAAUCGGAUAUCAGCCAUGAUCCGGUGAAUACGUUCCCGGGCCUUGUACACACCGCCCGUCAAGCCAUGGAAGUUGGGAGUGCCUGAAAUCCGUCACCGCAAAGAGCGGCCUAGGGUAAAAUCGAUAACUAGGGCUAAGUCGUAACAAGGUA
Molecule: ribosomal RNA, 1480 nt
Filed under: uncultured Flavobacteriia bacterium
Lineage: Bacteria; Pseudomonadati; Bacteroidota; Flavobacteriia
Description: 16S ribosomal RNA
Rfam family: Bacterial small subunit ribosomal RNA
Source: RNAcentral